Molecule: transfer RNA, 71 nt
Filed under: Loxodonta africana (African savanna elephant)
Lineage: Eukaryota; Metazoa; Chordata; Mammalia; Proboscidea; Elephantidae
Rfam family: tRNA
About the family: Transfer RNA (tRNA) molecules are approximately 80 nucleotides in length. Their secondary structure includes four short double-helical elements and three loops (D, anti-codon, and T loops). Further hydrogen bonds mediate the characteristic L-shaped molecular structure. tRNAs have two regions of fundamental functional importance: the anti-codon, which is responsible for specific mRNA codon recognition, and the 3' end, to which the tRNAs corresponding amino acid is attached (by aminoacyl-tRNA synthetases). tRNAs cope with the degeneracy of the genetic code in two manners: having more than one tRNA (with a specific anti-codon) for a particular amino acid; and 'wobble' base-pairing, i.e. permitting non-standard base-pairing at the 3rd anti-codon position.
Source: Rfam by way of RNAcentral
GCAGUGGUGAUUCAGUGGUAGAAUUCUCUCCUUCCAUACAGGAGACAUGGGUUCAAUUCCUGGCUAUUGCA